ACUUCGGUUUUGGUGGUUAGUGGCGAACGGGUGAGUAACACGUGAGUAACCUGCCCUUCACUGUGGGAUAACGAGAAGAAAUUCUUGCUAAUACCGCAUAUGACGCGUCUCCGCAUGGGGGUGUGUGGAAAGUUUUUUCGGUGGGGGAUGGACUCGCGGCCUAUCAGCUUGUUGGUGGGGUAAUGGCUCACCAAGGCUUUGACGGGUAGCCGGCCUGAGAGGGCGACCGGCCACACUGGGACUGAGAUACGGCCCAGACUCCUACGGGAGGCAGCAGUGGGGAAUAUUGCACAAUGGACGAAAGUCUGAUGCAGCAACGCCGCGUGCGGGAUGACGGCCUUCGGGUUGUAAACCGCUUUCACCAGGGGCGAAUUUGACGGUACCUGGAGAAGAAGCACCGGCUAACUACGUGCCAGCAGCCGCGGUGAUACGUAGGGUGCGAGCGUUGUCCGGAUUUAUUGGGCGUAAAGAGCUCGUAGGUGGUUUGUUGCGUCGGGAGUGAAAACACACAGCUCAACUGUGUGCUUGCUUUCGAUACGGGCAGACUUGAGGGAUGUAGGGGAGAACGGAAUUCCUGGUGGAGCGGUGGAAUGCGCAGAUAUCAGGAGGAACACCGGUGGCGAAGGCGGUUCUCUGGACAUUUCCUGACGCUGAGGAGCGAAAGCGUGGGGAGCAAACAGGCUUAGAUACCCUGGUAGUCCACGCCGUAAACGGUGGGCACUAGGUGUGGGGGACAUUCCACGUUCUCCGUGCCGUAGCUAACGCAUUAAGUGCCCCGCCUGGGGAGUACGGCCGCAAGGCUAAAACUCAAAGGAAUUGACGGGGGCCCGCA
RNAcentral lists this ribosomal RNA (832 nucleotides) under Propioniciclava sp. RNAcentral's name for it is "bacterial SSU rRNA". It matches the Rfam family "Bacterial small subunit ribosomal RNA", at positions 77 to 925 of the family's 1533-position model. The record is from RNAcentral. Lineage: Bacteria; Bacillati; Actinomycetota; Actinomycetes; Propionibacteriales; Propionibacteriaceae.